UAGAGAUAUCUUUUUGCCUUAGCAUCUGUGGACUGGUGGAGGGGGGUGCAUGGUUGUCGUCAGCUCGUGUGUUGAGAUGUUGCCCUAAAUCCCGCAACCCCCGCAACCCCUAUUGCUACUUGCCAUCAUUUACUUGGGCACUCUACCGAGACCGCCAUUGACAAGACGGAGGAAGGUGGGGAUGAGGUCAAAUCCUCAUGCCCCUUAUGUCCUGGGCUACACACGUACGACAAUGGCAGUCACAACGGGCAGCAACACCGCGAGGUGAACCGAAUCCCCCAAGGCUGUCUCAAUUCAGAUUGCACGCUGCCCCUCGCCUGCAUGAAGAAGGAAUUGCUAGUAAUGACAGGUCAGCAUACUGCCGUGAAUACGUUCCCGGGUCUUGGACACACCG
Molecule: ribosomal RNA, 394 nt
Filed under: uncultured bacterium
Lineage: Bacteria
Description: bacterial SSU rRNA
Rfam family: Bacterial small subunit ribosomal RNA
Source: RNAcentral